RNAcentral lists this ribosomal RNA (474 nucleotides) under uncultured bacterium. RNAcentral's name for it is "bacterial SSU rRNA". It matches the Rfam family "Bacterial small subunit ribosomal RNA", at positions 32 to 507 of the family's 1533-position model. The record is from RNAcentral.
GACAACGCUGGCGGCGUGCCUAACACAUGCAAGUCGAGCGGGGUUGAGGCGAGAGGUAACUCGAGCUUCUACCUAGCGGCGGACGGGUGAGUAACGCGUGGGCAACCUGCCUCAAGGUUUGGGAUAACAGCCCGAAAGGGCUGCUAAUACCGGAUAUGCCUAUGGCCUCGCAUGGGGCUAUGAGCAAAGGGGAAACCCGCCUUGAGAUGGGCCCGCGUCCCAUCAGCUAGUUGGUGAGGUAACAGCUCACCAAGGCGACGACGGGUAGCCGGCCUGAGAGGGUGACCGGCCACACUGGGACUGAGACACGGCCCAGACUCCUACGGGGGGCAGCAGUGGGGGAUCUUGCACAAUGGGCGAAAGCCUGAUGCAGCGACGCCGCGUGAGCGAAGAAGGCCUUCGGGUUGUAAAGCUCUGUCUGGAGGGACGAACAAAAUGACGGUACCUCCGGAGGAAGCCACGGCUAACUACGUG